This is a long non-coding RNA of Gavialis gangeticus (Gharial), 114 nucleotides long. RefSeq lists it as uncharacterized. The record is from RefSeq and is a predicted model, not a curated record. The transcript has 3 exons. Lineage: Eukaryota; Metazoa; Chordata; Crocodylia; Gavialidae.
AGUUACACCCCUUUAGGCAGGAUUAUCUCUGAGCCACACAACCCAGUUCCUGUUCCAGUAAGGUGUGGCCACUCCCCACAGAUGUGGUGCUCAAGCUGAAGUCCUGCAGUAUCC